Molecule: unclassified non-coding RNA, 349 nt
Filed under: soil metagenome
Description: partial contains 5.8S ribosomal RNA, internal transcribed spacer 2, and large subunit ribosomal RNA
Rfam family: 5.8S ribosomal RNA (bases 1-120)
Source: RNAcentral
GAUGAAGAACGUAGCAAAAUGCGAUAAGUAAUGUGAAUUGCAGAAUUCAGUGAAUCAUCGAAUCUUUGAACGCACAUUGCGCCCGCUGGUAUUCCGGCGGGCAUGCCUGUUCGAGCGUCAUUUCAACCCUCAAGCCCCCGGGUUUGGUGUUGGGGAUCGGCUCUGCCCUUCUGGGCGGUGCCGCCCCCGAAAUACAUUGGCGGUCUCGCUGCAGCCUCCAUUGCGUAGUAGCUAACACCUCGCAACUGGAACGCGGCGCGGCCAUGCCGUAAAACCCCAACUUCUGAAUGUUGACCUCGGAUCAGGUAGGAAUACCCGCUGAACUUAAGCAUAUCAAAUAAGCGGAGGA